GCAAGUCGAGCGCCUCCAAGCUAUGGUGAAGGCGCGGCAAACGGCUCAGUAACACGUGGCCAACCUACCCUUGGGACGGAGACAACCCCGGGAAACUGGGGCUAAUCCCCGAUAGGUGAGGAAUCCUGGAAUGGAUCCUCGCCCAAAAGACGUUGAGUCCAUGCUAUUCAGCGCCGCCCAAGGAUGGGGCCGCGACCGAUCAGGUAGUUGGUGAGGCAACGGCUCACCAAGCCUAUAACCGGUACGGGCCGUGAGAGCGGGAGCCCGGAGAUGGGCACUGAGACAAGGGCCCAGGCCCUACGGGGCGCAGCAGUUGCGAAAACUCCGCAAUGCGCGAAAGCGUGACGGGGCUACCCCGAGUGCCGCCCGUUGAGGGCGGCUUUUCCAUGGUGUAAGGAGCCGGGGGAAUAAGGAGAGGGCAAGACUGGUGUCAGCCGCCGCGGUAAUACCAGCUCUCCGAGUGGUAGGGAUGAUUAUUAGGCCUAAAGCGUCCGUAGCCGGCUUAGCAAGUCUCCUGUUAAAUUCAGCGACCUAAUCGUUGAGCCGCGGGAGAUACUACUAGGCUAGGAGGCGGGAGAGGCCGACGGUACUUCCGGGGUAGGGGUGAAAUCCUAUAAUCCCGGGCGGACCACCAGUGGCGAAGGCUGUCGGCUAGAACGCGCUCGACGGUGAGGGACGAAAGCUGGGGGAGCGAACCGGAUUAGAUACCCGGGUAGUCCCAGCCGUAAACGAUGCGGGCUAGGU
Molecule: ribosomal RNA, 744 nt
Filed under: uncultured archaeon
Lineage: Archaea
Description: bacterial SSU rRNA
Rfam family: Archaeal small subunit ribosomal RNA
Source: RNAcentral